CGGAGCUUGCUCCACCGAAAGAAAAAGAGUGGCGAACGGGUGAGUAACACGUGGGUAACCUGCCCAUCAGAAGGGGAUAACACUUGGAAACAGGUGCUAAUACCGUAUAACACUAUUUUCCGCAUGGAAGAAAGUUGAAAGGCGCUUUUGCGUCACUGAUGGAUGGACCCGCGGUGCAUUAGCUAGUUGGUGAGGUAACGGCUCACCAAGGCAACGAUGCAUAGCCGACCUGAGAGGGUGAUCGGCCACACUGGGACUGAGACACGGCCCAGACUCCUACGGGAGGCAGCAGUAGGGAAUCUUCGGCAAUGGACGAAAGUCUGACCGAGCAACGCCGCGUGAGUGAAGAAGGUUUUCGGAUCGUAAAACUCUGUUGUUAGAGAAGAACAAGGAUGAGAGUAAAAUGUUCAUCCCUUGACGGUAUCUAACCAGAAAGCCACGGCUAACUACGUGCCAGCAGCCGCGGUAAUACGUAGGUGGCAAGCGUUGUCCGGAUUUAUUGGGCGUAAAGCGAGCGCAGG
Molecule: ribosomal RNA, 521 nt
Filed under: uncultured Enterococcus sp.
Lineage: Bacteria; Bacillati; Bacillota; Bacilli; Lactobacillales; Enterococcaceae
Description: bacterial SSU rRNA
Rfam family: Bacterial small subunit ribosomal RNA
Source: RNAcentral